RNAcentral lists this ribosomal RNA (397 nucleotides) under uncultured bacterium. Its description in RNAcentral is "bacterial SSU rRNA". It matches the Rfam family "Bacterial small subunit ribosomal RNA", at positions 30 to 429 of the family's 1533-position model. The record is from RNAcentral.
AUUAAACGCUGGCGGCAUGCCUUACACAUGCAAGUCGAACGGCAGCAUGGGUGCUUGCACCUGAUGGCGAGUGGCGGACGGGUGAGUAAUACAUCGGAACGUGCCCUGAAGUGGGGGAUAACGCAGCGAAAGCUACGCUAAUACCGCAUAUUCUGUGAGCAGGAAAGCAGGGGAUCGCAAGACCUUGCGCUUUGGGAGUGGCCGAUGUCGGAUUAGCUAGUUGAUGGGGUAAAGGCCUACCAAGGCGACGAUCCGUAGCGGGUCUGAGAGGAUGAUCCGCCACACUGGGACUGAGACACGGCCCAGACUCCUACGGGAGGCAGCAGUGGGGAAUUUUGGACAAUGGGCGGAAGCCUGAUCCAGCCAUGCCGCGUGAGUGAAGAAGGCCUGGUGUAAG